RNAcentral lists this ribosomal RNA (382 nucleotides) under uncultured eukaryote. RNAcentral describes it as "partial 18S ribosomal RNA". It matches the Rfam family "Eukaryotic small subunit ribosomal RNA", at positions 592 to 976 of the family's 1831-position model. The record is from RNAcentral.
CAAUAGCGUAUAUUAAAGUUGUUGCAGUUAAAAAGCUCGUAGUUGGAUUUCUGGUUGAAGCGACCGGGCGGGCGUUGAUUCGUCUGCACUGGAGUCGGUUUUGGCCAUCCUCUAGGAAAGUGCGUCUGGUAUUAAGUUAUCGGGCGUAUGAUCCUGGUCUUUUACUGUGAAAAAAUUAGAGUGUUUAAAGCAGGCCUUCGCCUUGAAUACAUUAGCAUGGAAUAAUAAGAUAGGACUUUGGUCUAUUUUGUUGGUUUGCAGACCGAAGUAAUGAUUAAUAGGGAUAGUUGGGGGUAUUUAUAUUCCGAUGUCAGAGGUGAAAUUCUUAGAUUUUCGGAAGAUAAACUUAUGCGAAAGCAUUUACCAAGGAUGUUUUCAUUAA